This 432-nucleotide ribosomal RNA is filed under the name Didymium sp. RNAcentral describes it as "SSU rRNA". It matches the Rfam family "Eukaryotic small subunit ribosomal RNA", at positions 1238 to 1659 of the family's 1831-position model. The record is from RNAcentral. RNAcentral also lists the same sequence under 1 other name. Lineage: Eukaryota; Evosea; Eumycetozoa; Physariida; Didymiaceae.
GUCCGUAGAGCUGAGAUUUUCUAAUGAUGUAAGUGGUGGUGCAUGGUCGUUCUUAGUUCGUGGAGUGAUUUGUCUGGUCUAUUCCGAUAACGAGCGAGACCCCUACGUCCCUAAUAGGGGCGCUAGCCCGGCUUGCUGCUUAACGGCGGCUUGCUUGCUGGUGCCUCAAUUGCUUCUUAGGCGUAUCAGAGCCGAUAAGGUUCUUGAAAUGGGUUAAUAACAGGUCAGUCAUGCCCUUAGAUGUUCUGGGCCGCACGCGCGUUACAAUGGUAUACAUAGAACGUGCUCAACAGGGCGUAUCCACGGCCUACAGGUCGUGGUAACCCUUAGUCUCUUCCUUGACUGGGACAGACUAUUGCAAUUAUUGGUCUCCAACGAGGAAUUUUUAGUAGUCGCAGGUCAUUAACCUGCGACGAAUGCGUCCCUGCCCUC